GACGAACGCUGGCGGCGUGCCUAAUACAUGCAAGUCGAACGCAGUGGGGACGGGUGAGUAACACGUGGGUAACCUAACAUAAGCGGGGAUGACACUUGGCAACAGGUGCUAAACCGAUACUGAUGGAUGGACCCGCGGUGCAUUAGCUAGUGGGUGAGGUAACGGCUCACCAAGGCCACGAUGAAUAGCCGGCUGGAGAGGGUGAUCAGCCACACUGGAACUGAGACACGGCCCAGACUCCUACGGGAGGCAGCAGUAGGGAAUAUUCGGCAAUGGACGAAAGUCUGACCGAGCAACGCCGCGUGAGUGAAGAAGGUUUUCGGAUCGUAAAACUCUGUUGUUAGAGAAGCGUUAUCUAACCAGAAAGCCACGGCUAACUACGUGCCAGCAGCCGCGGUAAUAC
RNAcentral lists this ribosomal RNA (403 nucleotides) under uncultured bacterium. RNAcentral's name for it is "partial 16S ribosomal RNA". It matches the Rfam family "Bacterial small subunit ribosomal RNA", at positions 28 to 526 of the family's 1533-position model. The record is from RNAcentral.